RNAcentral lists this unclassified non-coding RNA (350 nucleotides) under soil metagenome. RNAcentral describes it as "partial contains 5.8S ribosomal RNA, internal transcribed spacer 2, and large subunit ribosomal RNA". The stretch from base 1 to 120 matches the Rfam family "5.8S ribosomal RNA", at positions 35 to 154 of the family's 154-position model. The record is from RNAcentral.
GAUGAAGAACGUAGCGAACUGCGAUAAGUAAUGUGAAUUGCAGAAUUCAGUGAAUCAUCGAGUCUUUGAACGCACAUUGCGCCCCCUGGCAUUCCGGGGGGCAUGCCUGUCCGAGCGUCAUUGCUGCCCUUCAAGCCCGGCUUGUGUGUUGGGUCGUCGUCCCCCCCGGGGGACGGGCCCGAAAGGCAGCGGCGGCACCGCGUCCGGUCCUCGAGCGUAUGGGGCUUUGUCACCCGCUCGAUUAGGGCCGGCCGGGCACCAGCCGGCGUCUCCAACCUUCUAUUUUACCAGGUUGACCUCGGAUCAGGUAGGGAUACCCGCUGAACUUAAGCAUAUCAAUAAGCGGAGGA